UCGGACAUUCUCGACUGCGCUCCCAAUCCCGCUACCUCUCCCCAACCCCCCCCCUACCCCGCGUGCGUUUAAUAAAAUGGGUGGUUGGUAAGAGGGGGAGGAGUAAAAGUAACUCCACUGGGAGAAAAAUAUCCUUUUUUUCUGGAAUUUCGGGACGACAAUGCAGAUUAUUUCUUGUGUGUUUAUUUAGGGGACGUCAUCUAUAAUAAUUUAUGUAUAUUUCCGCGAGAUUUUUCAACCGUUGACAGGGAUAUGCGUAGAUGGCUUGCAUUCCACUCGUGGGCGCGCCCCCAGGUCCAGGUGGCAUUCAUUUGAAGGUAAAUAAAUCUAGGUGCCGAGUUAGGCAUGUGUGAAGACGGGAGGGUUGGGUGGGAUCUGUUGAGUUUGUGACGGCGUAGCUUUGACCAUUUGACCAUGAAAAAUGGGCAUUGACUAUGGUAGCGUAAGGGUUUUGACUUGACCUAGAGUUAACGACCAGUUGCGGUUUGAUCUGGACACGGUCAAUAUCAACGCCGUAGAAUCCGUUAUUCUCGACCCUCUCCGGCGGGGGAUUUCAACCGUUCCCAUUCAAUUUGGGACGUUGACUCGAUCGACAGUUGCUGAUCUCCACCAUCACCGUCAAAUCUCCGUUUGGCGGCCGCCGCUCUUAGCCACAGCUGGAACAAUUAACGGACAAUAAAAAAUUGUAUGGUCGGGAAAUUUCUCGAGAUUUGUCAAGAUAUUAUUUUUACCCGAUAUCGUGGCAAGAUUUUACAUACUUAAAAAAAAUGGGUGUAUUUAUUUUGAGACGGUUUGACCCCAAGUCCGAGUUCUAGCUUUGGGCUUGAAAAAUUAUUGAUCGGCAUGGAGUGAAGUAAGCUGGGCUCUUCCGAAAUAAUUUCCUCGAUAAUUCUCUCAAGUGGGUACCCUUUCUCGGCCUUCCGCCUUCAUUGUUGACAAAUGACCACCACCUCGAUUCCUUUCAUCCCUCCACCGUCUGAGAUCUGCAAUAAUUUGCUAGAAGCCACGCCGGCGGCCCUAAGCGCCCCCCAC
Molecule: long non-coding RNA, 1032 nt
Filed under: Spirodela polyrhiza (greater duckweed)
Lineage: Eukaryota; Viridiplantae; Streptophyta; Magnoliopsida; Alismatales; Araceae
Description: long non-coding RNA (SPOL_LNC001267)
Source: RNAcentral